AUUCUUUCUCUUGAUCUUUUUCUUUUUUUAUUAAUGAAAAACAAAAAAAGAACGAAAAAUGAUACCAUGUUUUUAACCUUUUAUACAGGUAUAUAUUUGUAUGUGUU
Molecule: non-coding RNA, 107 nt
Filed under: Lotharella globosa
Lineage: Eukaryota; Cercozoa; Chlorarachniophyceae
Source: RNAcentral